Small nuclear RNA from Nannospalax galili (Upper Galilee mountains blind mole rat), 163 nucleotides. Its record names the gene U1. It matches the Rfam family "U1 spliceosomal RNA". Rfam says of the family: U1 is a small nuclear RNA (snRNA) component of the spliceosome (involved in pre-mRNA splicing). The record is from Ensembl. Lineage: Eukaryota; Metazoa; Chordata; Mammalia; Rodentia; Spalacidae.
AUACUUUCCUGGCAGGGGAGAUACCAUGAUCAUGAAAGUGGUUUUCCCAGGGCAAGGUCUUAUCCAUUGCACUCCGAUGUGCUGACCCCUGUGAUUUCUCCAAAUGUGGGAAGCUGACGGCAUAAUUUCCGGUAGUGAGGGACUGUGUUCACACUGUCCCCUG